AUACCCCGAUUCUCCGACACAAGUUAAUUAUCAUUUAAUUGGUUAAGUGAUGAUUAUAAGGCAUAUUGAUAUUGGAUUAUAUUAAUCUAAGAAGGAUUAUUAGUAAGAGUUAGUGGAGUGGUUAGAAUAAGAUAGAUUAUUGGAAUUGAACCAAGUGGCAAGGUGGUAAUUUUCACUCAAUUGGAGGGCUUAAUGGACUUAUGUAUUGCUUGCAUGUGGACAUAAUGGACAUUGGACUUUAAGUGCAUGAGCUUAAGUGUUGUUUGGCUUACACAUCAGAUUUUUAUGGUUGAAGUGGAGCAAGAGAAGCUUAUGUUCUUCCUCAUCACCUUCAUUUUCGCAACAUUUUGGCAGCCCUCACUAAACUGAUCAUAACUCUCUGCUCACAGCUCCGAUUGAGGUGUAAAGUGGAAUACGGGUUUGAUGAAUUUGGAGUUGAAGUUUUGGUCAAGUUAGGAGCUCAAUUGCAGCAUGUUCAUCAUCCAAAGCUCCAUUGAUGCAAGGUGCAGUUUAGUAGCUUUUGAUAGAUAGCCGGUUCGGAUUGAUGGCUUGAAGUGGUGUCGGCUCGAAGUCCUCGUUGAUUUUGACAUUCCGCUGUGCAAGAUCCAUUGAAGACCCGUGUAUUAUGCUACUUAGUAGAAUUUCAUGUUGUAUUUUAUAUGGAUCAAAUAUUGUACCUUGACUUGUGU
This is a long non-coding RNA of Vicia villosa (hairy vetch), 689 nucleotides long. RefSeq lists it as uncharacterized. The transcript has 3 exons. The record is from RefSeq and is a predicted model, not a curated record. NCBI's taxonomy places the organism in Eukaryota, Viridiplantae, Streptophyta, Magnoliopsida, Fabales, Fabaceae.